The sequence is a transfer RNA, 87 nucleotides long. It matches the Rfam family "tRNA". From Rfam's summary of the family: Transfer RNA (tRNA) molecules are approximately 80 nucleotides in length. Their secondary structure includes four short double-helical elements and three loops (D, anti-codon, and T loops).
GGGCUUAUAGCGCAGUGGUAGCGCGCACGCUUUGCAUUAAGAAUUCUUUGUUGUGUGAGGUCCGGGGUUCAAUCCCCCGUGAGUCCA